UUAUAUUUUAUUUAUUAAUUUUUUUUAUUUUAUUUAUAAUUUAUUAAAAAUAAUUAUAUAAUGUUUAGUUUUAGUAAUUUUUAAAGAAAUAAUAAAUUUAAUUAUAGUUAAUUAGUAUUGUGAAAGAAAAUUGAAAUAAUUUGAAAAAUUUAUAUUUUAAAAGAAAAUUUAAUUUAUUGUACCUUGUGUAUCAGGGUUUAUUUAAUAAAAAUUAAUUAUUUAAUUUUCUCGAUUUUAAAAGAGUUAAUAUAUUGUAAAAUUUAAUGUUAUAAAAUUAUUUUAAAUAGUAUAUUAGAAAUGAAAUGUUAUUCGUUUUUGAAGGUAUCUAGUUCUUUAAGAAAUAAAUUUAAUUUAUAAAUUUUAUAUUAUUUAAUUAAAUAUAUUAAUUAAAUAAUUAUUUAAUUUUUAUAUUAUAUGGGAUAAGCUAUAUAAUAAAUUUUUAAAAAUUGGUAAAAAUUUUAAAAGAUAUAGGCUUAGAAAUAGUCAUUAUUAUUAAAAUUGUUAUAAUUUAUUUUAUUUAAUAAAUUAUUUAUUGAAAUUUUAAGUAUUUAUUAAAGUAUUUAUUAAAAUUAUAAAAAUAAAAAAAUAAUGAUGGAAUUAGUAUAUAAUUAUGUUUGAAUAAUUAUUUUUGAGAAGUUUUUAUAAAGAACUCGGCAAAUUAAUGUUCGCCUGUUUAACAAAAACAUGUCUUUUUUGAAUUUUUAAAAAGUCUAACCUGCCCACUGAAAUUUUAAAUGGCCGCAGUAUACUAACUGUGCAAAGGUAGCAUAAUCAUUAGUUUUUUAAUUGAAGGCUGGUAUGAAUGGUUGGACGAAUAUUAACUGUUUCAUAAAUAAUUUUAUUAGAAUUUUAUUUUUUAGUUAAAAAGCUAAAAUUUAUUUAAAAGACGAGAAGACCCUAUAAAUCUUUAUAUUUAAUUUAUUAAAAAUUUUUAGAAUUUUUUGUUAUAAUAAAUAAUAAUAUUUUAUUGGGGUGAUAUUAAAAUUUAAUAAACUUUUAAUUUUUUUUAUCAUAAAUUAAUGAGUAAUUGAUCCAUUAUUAAUGAUUAAAAAUUCAAGUUACUUUAGGGAUAACAGCGUAAUUUUUUUGGAGAGUUCUUAUCAAUAAAAAAGAUUGCGACCUCGAUGUUGGAUUAAGAUAUAAUUUUAGGUGUAGAAGCUUAAAUUUUAAGUCUGUUCGACUUUUAAAAUCUUACAUGAUCUGAGUUCAAACCGGUGUAAGCCAGGUUGGUUUCUAUCUUUAAAUUAUUAAAAUAUUUUAGUACGAAAGGAUCAAAUAUUUGGUAAAUGAUUAUUUUUAUUAAGAAUAUAAUUAAUAG
Molecule: ribosomal RNA, 1318 nt
Filed under: Rutilia goerlingiana
Lineage: Eukaryota; Metazoa; Arthropoda; Insecta; Diptera; Tachinidae
Description: 16S ribosomal RNA
Rfam family: Archaeal large subunit ribosomal RNA (bases 1069-1228)
Source: RNAcentral